This 522-nucleotide ribosomal RNA is filed under the name Triticum aestivum (bread wheat). Its description in RNAcentral is "partial small subunit ribosomal RNA". The record is from RNAcentral. Lineage: Eukaryota; Viridiplantae; Streptophyta; Magnoliopsida; Poales; Poaceae.
AUGGGUCGUACCAAUGUCAAUCCUAUUUGGGGUAAGAUUUGGAAAUUAUCGUGUCCGGCAAAGGUAAAAAUAUUUAUCUGGCGAAAGUUGCAUGGAACUCUACCGUGUCGUGUUACACUUGCUAAUAGACAUCUGAAAGUUUCGCCCCUUUGUCCAUCAUGCUCGAAUGGGCAAGAAGAUACAAAACACAUCUUGUUUCUGUAUGAGAAGGCAAAAGAGGUUUGGAAGCUGGGGAUGUACGAGGUAAUCAAGAAAGAUUGUGUUAUUGAUCGUGCGGGUGAGGCGGUUCUUGAAUCCUUACUUCUUAUGCCGCACCAAGAACUAUCUAUACUAAAGAAUACCAAUGCAACUGAAUUAAUCGUGAUAACCGCUUGGUAUUUAUGGUGGGAGAGACGCAUGUUGGUUCAUGAAGGGAAGUCUCAAGAUGUGAACCAGAUUUCGAUGGGGGUUCGUGCUAUAACGACAAAUUAUGUGAAUGCCCACUCCCCUAGUGCGACUAGUAGAAAAGAAGGAUGGAGCUGA